ACCCGCUGAACUUAAGCAUAUCAAUAAGCGGAGGAAAAGAAACCAACAGGGAUUGCCUCAGUAACGGCGAGUGAAGCGGCAACAGCUCAAAUUUGAAAUCUGGCUCCUUCGGAGUCCGAGUUGUAAUUUGUAGAGGAUGCUUCGGGUGUGGCUCCGGUCUAAGUUCCUUGGAACAGGACGUCAUAGAGGGUGAGAAUCCCGUAUGUGACUGGUAGCCUAUGCUCAUGUGAAGCUCCUUCGACGAGUCGAGUUGUUUGGGAAUGCAGCUCAAAAUGGGUGGUAAAUUUCAUCUAAAGCUAAAUAUUGGCCAGAGACCGAUAGCGCACAAGUAGAGUGAUCGAAAGAUGAAAAGCACUUUGGAAAGAGAGUUAAACAGUACGUGAAAUUGUUGAAAGGGAAGCGCUUGCAACCAGACUUGCAUGUGGUUAAUCAACUGGGGUUCUCCCCGGUGCACUUGAUCAUGUUCAGGCCAGCAUCGGUUUUGGUGGUUGGAUAAAGACUCAGGGAAUGUGGCUCCUCUCGGGGAGUGUUAUAGCCCUGGGUGCAAUGCAGCCUACUGGGACCGAGGACCGCGCUUCGGCUAGGAUGCUGGCGUAAUGGUUGUAAGCGACCCGUCUUGAAACACGG
RNAcentral lists this ribosomal RNA (627 nucleotides) under uncultured fungus. RNAcentral's name for it is "eukaryotic LSU rRNA". It matches the Rfam family "Eukaryotic large subunit ribosomal RNA", at positions 23 to 664 of the family's 3401-position model. Lineage: Eukaryota; Fungi. The record is from RNAcentral.